RNAcentral lists this long non-coding RNA (508 nucleotides) under Anas platyrhynchos platyrhynchos (common mallard). Its description in RNAcentral is "lncRNA (ENSAPLG00000017311.1)". Lineage: Eukaryota; Metazoa; Chordata; Aves; Anseriformes; Anatidae. The record is from RNAcentral.
CCGUGGGCAACGCCAGCGGCCCCGUCCUCGUCUCCUGGCCGGGGGGGCCCAGACCCCAGCAGGUGCUGGGGCUGGGGGGCAGCACAGAGCUGCUCAUCAGCCCCGCGGGCAUCGCCGGGGGCACCGGGGGGCUCUGCGAGGUGCGCUUCAAUGCCUCCGGUCCCCCCGUCCGCAGGAGCGUGGAGCUGCACGGGGCCAAGGGACUCCAGCCCAGAGCUCCAGACCCUCCUGCAAGCCCAGCACCAGCAGGGAGAGCUGACGUACGCCCAGCUCCGCUUCGCCACCCCAGCGAGGGCAGCGCCGUGACCCACGGGGCUGGGCCCCAAGGCCUCGGUGGCGGCGCCGUGCAGCCCUGGGAGGCUGCGGCUGCCCCGGCCGCCGGGACAGCGGGGAGGAAGGAACGGGACCGAACCUCCAAGGAGGGGGCUCGAAGGAGCAGUGAAUGACGGGAGAGGACCUCAAAUGUGGCGUUAAUAAAGAGAUUGAAACUAAAAUGAGGAGUAAAUCG